UAAGGCAAGCCAGUAGAGCCAGCCUAAAUCCCACUAAGAGGUGGGUGUCAAGCCAAGGAGUAGUGCUGCAAUGUGAAUAAAUGUUUUACCCUUUCUUGAGUCUGACAGGGUGGUGGGAGGUGAGCGUUUUAUGGUUUUAGUUCCCCCGAGAUGAACCUCAAGAUAGACCUCUUGCUGCGAAUACUUUUAGAUUUUAUGGUUCAAUCAAAGUGAGAAAUGGGAUUUUCUUGGAGACAUAAUGUAGAAAUCCUUCCUUGAAUUUCCAAAAAAAAGCCGUAAGGAAAUGAUGAAAUAACCUUCCGGUGGCUUGAUGCAGCACUCACCGUCAUGGUGCCUUUCUCCCCUUCAAAGGGGUUUGUUAUCGUCCGUGCGUCUGGCUCCUGUCGGAAUAACUUCCAGCUCGGUUCCAUCUCCAGAUCUAACUGCAACGCAGGAGGAAGGAAAACAGACAAAUAUGUGAGGACACACUAUCGACCCUCCCGGGCGUGUGCACGCCCUUCGGAGUCUGGCAUCCCACCUCCUCGUGGUGGAAUCGCUCUGGACUCAACUUUACACCCGUCUCCCGGGCAGCUGGGUUGUCCUGGACACAAACCUGGAUUGGCAGCCCCUUCUCCCUCAGCACUUUCAUCUUAAUGCAACUUCCCGCGUGCCUGAGGGCACUCACGGCUUCGUGGUGGGCCAUCCCCUGAAUGUCAAGUCCGUUAACCUGGAUGAACCGGGGAAAAGGCAGUUCCUCAGGGCAGCAAUCUGUCUCCAACAAGGACCCCUGCCUUAUCGGAAGGACCUCCUUCGGAAACCUUCGAGAUGAAGAUGCCCUGAAACAAAAAAAUAAUCCACGUCAACCUAAAAAUAAAUUCGGCCAAAAAGUGAUUAUCACAGUGGAAUAUGGUCUUAGCUUUCGCACCUUAAGCCUUUUGGUGGCUAAGCUGAACUAGUGCCUACCUCAUCGUGUUCUCUGUAGGGUAGGGAACCUUUCCCACCAGCGAUGCUGAGGCCCAAACCACUGCUCUGCCCGCACACUUUGAUCUGUAACUACAAGGUUUCCCUCCGUUAACAACGUCAGCAAAGUGACAACUUCCAGUGGCUUUGAAGCCGACAU
Gadus chalcogrammus (walleye pollock) is the source of this 1099-nucleotide long non-coding RNA. RefSeq lists it as uncharacterized. The record is from RefSeq and is a predicted model, not a curated record. NCBI's taxonomy places the organism in Eukaryota, Metazoa, Chordata, Actinopteri, Gadiformes, Gadidae. The transcript has 3 exons.